Molecule: microRNA precursor, 81 nt
Filed under: Dasypus novemcinctus (nine-banded armadillo)
Lineage: Eukaryota; Metazoa; Chordata; Mammalia; Cingulata; Dasypodidae
Description: microRNA 876 (ENSDNOG00000027629.1)
Rfam family: mir-876 microRNA precursor family
Source: RNAcentral
UUAAGUGCUGUGGAUUUCUUUGUGAAUCACCAUAUCUAAACUAGUGUGGUGGUGGUUUACAAAGUAAUUCAUAGUGCUUCA